This 497-nucleotide ribosomal RNA is filed under the name uncultured bacterium. Its description in RNAcentral is "partial 16S ribosomal RNA". It matches the Rfam family "Bacterial small subunit ribosomal RNA", at positions 28 to 507 of the family's 1533-position model. The record is from RNAcentral.
GACGAACGCUGGCGGCGUGCCUAAUACAUGCAAGUCGAACGCUGAAGCUUGGUGCUUGCACCGAGCGGGUGAGUUGCGCACGGGUGAGUAACGCGUAGGUAACCUGCCUGGUAGCGGGGGAUAACUAUUGGAAACGAUAGCUAAUACCGCAUAAGAGUAGAUUUUGCAUGACAUUUGCUUAAAAGGUGCAAUUGCAUCACUACCAGAUGGACCUGCGUUUUGUUAGCUAGUUGGUGAGGUAACGGCUCACCAAGGCAACGCUACAUAGCCCAACUGAGAGGGUGAGUCGCCGCACUGGGACUGAGACACGGCCCAGACUCCCUCGGGAAGGAGCCAGAGGGAAACGGCGGGAAUGGGCGGAAGUCUGAGCGAGCAACGCCGAGGGAGGGAAGAAGGGUGUCGGGUCGGAAAGGUCUGUUGUAAGAGAAGAAAGAGUUUGAGAGUGGAAAGUUCACACUGUGACGGUAUCUGACCAGAAAGCGACGGCUAACUACGUG